This 441-nucleotide ribosomal RNA is filed under the name uncultured bacterium. RNAcentral's name for it is "partial 16S ribosomal RNA". It matches the Rfam family "Bacterial small subunit ribosomal RNA", at positions 338 to 795 of the family's 1533-position model. The record is from RNAcentral.
CCUACGGGGGGCAGCAGUGGGGGAUAUUGCACAAUGGGGGGAACCCUGAUGCAGCGACGCCGCGUGGGUGAAGGAGUGCUUCGGCAUGUAAAGCCCUAUCGGCAGGGAAGAAGCAAGACGGUACCUGACUAAGAAGCCCCGGCUAACUACGUGCCAGCAGCCGCGGUAAUACGUAGGGGGCAAGCGUUAUCCGGAUUUACUGGGUGUAAAGGGAGAGCAGGCGGCGCGGUAAGUCUGAUGUGAAAGCCCGGGGCUCAACCCCGGGACUGCAUUGGAAACUGUCGUGCUGGAGUGUCGGAGGGGCAAGUGGAAUGCCUAGUGUAGCGGUGAAAUGCGUAGAUAUUAGGCGGAACACCAGUGGCGAAGGCGGCUUGCUGGACGACAACUGACGCUGAGGCUCGAAAGCGUGGGGAGCAAACAGGAUUAGAUACCCGGGUAGUC